CUGAUGUCUACAAAUUGUAAU
RNAcentral lists this small nuclear RNA (21 nucleotides) under Arabidopsis thaliana (thale cress). Its description in RNAcentral is "snRNA_15541". The record is from RNAcentral. Lineage: Eukaryota; Viridiplantae; Streptophyta; Magnoliopsida; Brassicales; Brassicaceae.